Long non-coding RNA from Arabidopsis thaliana (thale cress), 252 nucleotides. RefSeq annotates it as other RNA. The record is from RefSeq. The transcript has a single exon. NCBI's taxonomy places the organism in Eukaryota, Viridiplantae, Streptophyta, Magnoliopsida, Brassicales, Brassicaceae.
GCAUUCCCUAAAUCUUGAUGUCUUAAGAUUUUUAAAUCUGAUUUCGAAAUACACUGCCUCGAUUUCCCAAAUUCGCCACUGUUUCUCGAUUCCGUCAAUUUCACUACAAUUUUUCGAUUCCCCAAAUUCACUACAGUUUCUCGAUUCCAUCAAUUUCCUUACAGUUUUCGAGUCCCCAAAUUCGCUACAGUUCUUUGAAUCCCCAAAUUUCAAGAAAGUAUUCUUUAACCCUGAAUCUUGCUACAAAAAUGA